GAUGAACGCUAGCGGCAGGCCUAACACAUGCAAGUCGAGGGGCAGCACAGAAACAGCAAUGUUUUGGUGGCGACCGGCGGACGGGUGCGUAACGCGUAUGCAACCUACCUUUAACAGGGGGGUAACGGAGAGAAAUUUCCACUAAUACCCCAUAACAUCGAUCAAGGCAUCUUGAUUGGUUGAAAACUCCGGUGGUUAAAGGUGGGCAUGCGUUGUAUUAGGUAGUUGGUGAGGUAAUGGCUCACCAAGCCUACGAUACAUAGGGGGACUGAGAGGUUAGCCCCCCACGCUGGUACUGAGACACGGACCAGACUCCUACGGGAGGCAGCAGUGAGGAAUAUUGGUCAAUGGGGGCAACCCUGAACCAGCCAUGCCGCGUGCAGGAAGACGGCUCUAUGAGUUGUAAACUGCUUUUAAACAGGGAUAAAGCACAGUAUGUAUACUGUGUUGAAGGUACUGUAAGAAUAAGGAUCGGCUAACUCCGUGCCAGCCGCCGCCGUAA
This 502-nucleotide ribosomal RNA is filed under the name uncultured bacterium. RNAcentral's name for it is "partial 16S ribosomal RNA". It matches the Rfam family "Bacterial small subunit ribosomal RNA", at positions 28 to 523 of the family's 1533-position model. The record is from RNAcentral.